This 354-nucleotide transfer-messenger RNA is filed under the name Dehalococcoidia. Its description in RNAcentral is "UBA1328 sp022564545 Standard tmRNA". It matches the Rfam family "transfer-messenger RNA". From Rfam's summary of the family: Bacterial tmRNA, also known as 10Sa RNA or SsrA, is named for its dual tRNA and mRNA-like properties. Its role is to liberate the mRNA from a stalled ribosome. Lineage: Bacteria; Bacillati; Chloroflexota. The record is from RNAcentral. RNAcentral also lists the same sequence under 1 other name.
GGGGACGCGUGGAUUCGACAGGGAGAUAUCCGCUCGAUCGCGGGCCGUGGCGCCGUGCACCACGUAAAAAGCGGCAAAAAAAUAAACGGCGAACGAGAAUUCGCUCUCGCUGCCUAAAGCGCAGUGACGUUCGACCUGACCCCGGCCUGGCGGGUCAGGACCGAGCGACGAAAUGCCAGGCUGCGGUGUUCGGGUCGUUAGUGACGAACAUCUAAGGCUUCUCUAACUGGUCGCCACUCUUGCCACGCCGACGGGGCGGGUGCGGCGACGAGAAAACCACCGACGGCUACGCUCGUAGAAGUCAAACCGGUACCCUCCCUGGACGGGGAGUUCGACUCUCCCCCGUCUCCACCA